UGGGGAAUAUUGGACAAUGGGCGCAAGCCUGAUCCAGCCAUGCCGCGUGUGUGAAGAAGGCCUUUUGGUUGUAAAGCACUUUAAGCGGGGAGGAGGCAACUUGGGUUAAUACCCCGAUGUUGCGGACGUUACCCGCAGAAUAAGCACCGGCUAACUCUGUGCCAGCAGCCGCGGUAAUACAGAGGGUGCGAGCGUUAAUCGGAAUUACUGGGCGUAAAGCGCGCGUAGGCGGCUUGUUAAGUCGGAUGUGAAAUCCCUGGGCUCAACCUAGGAACUGCAUUCGAUACUGGCAAGCUAGAGUGUGGGAGAGGAAGGUAGAAUUCCAGGUGUAGCGGUGAAAUGCGUAGAGAUCUGGAGGAAUACCGAUGGCGAAGGCAGCCUUCUGGCCUAACACUGACGCUGAGGUGCGAAAGCAUGGGGAGCAAACAGG
RNAcentral lists this ribosomal RNA (430 nucleotides) under uncultured bacterium. RNAcentral describes it as "bacterial SSU rRNA". It matches the Rfam family "Bacterial small subunit ribosomal RNA", at positions 355 to 776 of the family's 1533-position model. The record is from RNAcentral.